UACGUAGGGGGCUAGCGUUGUCCGGAAUCAUUGGGCGUAAAGAGCGUGUAGGCGGCCCGGCAAGUCCGCUGUGAAAGUCGGGGGCUCAACCCUCGAAUGCCGGUGGAUACUGUCGGGCUAGAGUGCGGAAGAGGCGAGUGGAAUUCCUGGUGUAGCGGUGAAAUGCGCAGAUAUCAGGAGGAACACCAAUUGCGAAGGCAGCUCGCUGGGACGUAACUGACGCUGAGACGCGAAAGCGUGGGGAGCAAACAGG
RNAcentral lists this ribosomal RNA (253 nucleotides) under uncultured bacterium. RNAcentral's name for it is "partial 16S ribosomal RNA". It matches the Rfam family "Bacterial small subunit ribosomal RNA", at positions 524 to 776 of the family's 1533-position model. The record is from RNAcentral.